Molecule: microRNA, 22 nt
Filed under: Brugia malayi
Lineage: Eukaryota; Metazoa; Nematoda; Chromadorea; Rhabditida; Onchocercidae
Description: bma-miR-9505-5p
Source: miRBase by way of RNAcentral
UAUGGUUGUGACAAACAUCACG